This 311-nucleotide ribosomal RNA is filed under the name uncultured bacterium. Its description in RNAcentral is "bacterial SSU rRNA". It matches the Rfam family "Bacterial small subunit ribosomal RNA", at positions 359 to 661 of the family's 1533-position model. The record is from RNAcentral.
GGGANUUGCACAAUGGGGGNAACCCUGAAUGCAGCCAUGCCGCGUGUGUGAAGAAGGCCUUCGGGUUGUAAAGCACUUUCAGCGAGGAGGAAAGGUUGAUGCCUAAUACGUAUCAACUGUGACGUUACUCGCAGAAGAAGCACCGGCUAACUCCGUGCCAGCAGCCGCGGUAAUACGGAGGGUGCAAGCGUUAAUCGGAAUUACUGGGCGUAAAGCGCACGCAGGCGGUUGGAUAAGUUAGAUGUGAAAGCCCCGGGCUCAACCUGGGAAUUGCAUUUAAAACUGUCCAGCUAGAGUCUUGUAGAGGGGGG